This 15603-nucleotide long non-coding RNA is filed under the name Aquilegia coerulea. RNAcentral describes it as "long non-coding RNA (ACOE_LNC001605)". The record is from RNAcentral. Lineage: Eukaryota; Viridiplantae; Streptophyta; Magnoliopsida; Ranunculales; Ranunculaceae.
CUUGCAGUUUCGACCCUUCGUUGAGUUAUGAAGAGCGGGAACAGAAGAUGAAGCAGGCCACUGUAAGAGCUGGGUUCGUGCAAGACCUGGUUCUCUCCACCCUUUUUAGCGAUUAGUGUAAUCAGGCUUUUAUAGCGAACAUAUGGUAAUGGUAAUCGAUCUACUCUGUUCCUGAUAAGAGGCGGAAAUGGGGUCCUUAGUGUUAAAUGCAAUACAUAUGGACAACCCAUCAUAGGCUGCUUCUUGAUCAGAGAGAUGUAUUUAUUUUGAAAGAAGUCGAUGGCUACUCAGUAUUCUGCGAUUGUCCAUCGUAAUGCUUAUGUUUUCAUAAUAAUCUAUCUUAUGCUUUUAGACAAUUAAAUUAUUAGGCCAUAAUAAAGAUAUGUUGGACAAUGAUUUUCUGCGUAAACAGGCUCUCAUGUAAAGUUGUAAUUCUGAGAUGACACUAAGGUAGCUUGGUAUGUAUAAAUUGGCCACUAUUGACGUGAACGGGAAGACCUUUAGGAUCAUUUUUUUUUCCUUUUCUUUUUGUGGCCACUUGCUGCCUUAGCACAAACACAUCUGUGCGAACCAUAUGUGAUCACAAACUGACGCAAAUCAUCUACCCACUUGUCACUUGUGAGUGAAAAUGCCCAGAGACUUAUGAAUCCUUCCUUCUGGACACAUACAUUCUUCAUACUAGAUUUUUGAAUGACAAAAGUUAUAACCAUACUUCCAAUUAAAAUUUACAACACAACAAGUUAGCUAUGAAUGAUGUUUCCAACUCAACCAAUGGUCUGUACUGUGGAGAACCCAUGAACCCAGUUACCCCAACCACUGACAUUGUUGAAAGUGGCAUAUGAUAACAAUAUUCAUACAAUGUGGGGGCAGAUUGUAAUUUUGUUCAAGAGCAACAUCAUAUAAAGUGCACAACUAAAACCCUAGUUUUAUCUUAAAAGAAGUGUGGCCAUUCAAUAUCUUCACAGUUCCAAAGAGAAAAAAUAGUGUUUAAGAUCUAGAAAUUUAGAAAAAUAUAUCUUGAAACAAUGGAGAUUUUACUUAGAUACUUUGAUCCUAUGUUGAGUAUGUUGAGAAUGGGUGGUAUCGGAAACAUACAGAUUACUCUGCAGAUGAUGCGCUUUCAUCUGUUUCUUCCAAAAGCAGUUUGAGCUAGCUCAAUGGAGGCAGAUCUGUGUUGCUUUGGGUUGCUAGCUUUCUUUUCAGCUGUUUGAGCUAGCUCAAUGGAGGCAGAUCUGUGUUGCUUUGGGUUGCUAGCUUUCUUUUCAGCUGAAGUAGUGAGUUGGAUAUUUGAUUAUUUAUUUGAUAACAUAGUUCUUCUUAUGGUAUUUCCCUGAAAGAAAGAGAGUAAUAGUGUUUCCAUACAGGAGUUUCGGGUCUUCUGUCAAGUACAAGAAGAGUCCAAUGGAAUAGCAGCUCCUCCUCUUCAGUAUGUACUAAAUCUCUCCAGAAAUAUUUUGAUAUAUGUAUUUGUUUUCAGUUUGGUUGGGAAAUAAACAUUUAUCUAGCUUGAUCCUAGAAAUAGAAUGAUCCAUAGGAAGUGUCCAACUGUGAUAUCUACUAGAAUGAUCCAUAGGACGUAUUUUUUUUCUUGUUCAUUAUGUGAGUAUGCGCUGCACAAGUGGAGGUAUUAUUAGGUAUGGUGCCUGGGCCUUAUAUAUAUAAAUAAGGUAAGGGUAAAACCGGAAUUAUUAGUAUGUUUGUGACGGUGAUAGCGUCACGUCAGGUUUUGCAAACCACCUCGUUUUAGGGGCGUCUUAUAAAGUAGUUAAGAUAUGAUAUCUCUAUUACUUGACACCCCAAAAGGAGGUGGUUUGCGAAGCCUGACGUGUCACCAUCACAAACAAAAUGAUAAUUCCGGUUUUGGUUUUACCUUUACCUUAUUUAUAUAAGCAGGCUGUAUGAAUGCCCAUGCCCAAUAAUACCUUUAUGCACGCACAAACGUGCAUGUUCACAUAGUAUAACAUGGACCAUUGUAAACUAGGAUAUGGUAUCAUUCUUUAGUAUGUUAAGAACUUAUAAAGAGAAAGUGACGGUUAUUUACCUACCCUUAACCCCAUUUGGGCUUAUCACUCACAACGAUAACUUGAUUAUACCAUCAACCAAACUCGUUGGUACGACCCUCUCCUACUAGUGAUGCUAUUUUGUUUCUACAAUUUAUUACAUUUCGAGAAGCAAUUGCCAAUUUGAAUGGCCAAUUUUAUUACUAGUUUACAAUAUUUAUGGUGCUUGAUCCAAGAGUGGCUUGUUUGGAUCUAUGACGGCCUUGGUAGACGUAUAUGUAAUAAUCAACAUAUCAACGCCUUUUACCAAUUUUGUUUAUUUGGCGUCGAAAUUGUGCGGGAUUUUACAAUUAGCCUGUCAAUUUUAUGUGUACUAGGGUCAUCCAUAUCAAGUGUAUGCUACCGUAUUUAUUCAAAUGAGAUGUCUGACACAAGGGUCAGCCAUUUUAAAGUGUCUUUGCAACAAUGUAUCUUUAGAUAAUUACUCGUUUUGUUCUUCCAGGCUUCCAGCUGCUUGACGAAGUAGAAUUUGUCUGAAUUUCUAAUAUGUUUGAGAUCAAAUACCUUUUCUUUCUUGUAGUUCCAUGAGAGAACUUGAGGCCUUCUUUGAUUGCGAGAAUGGGUGGUAUCGGAAAGUUUUAAGGGCGGUGGAGUCUCUUAUUUUCAUGCACAAAAUGACCACAAAUACUUGCUUGCAAGGUAUUGUUGAACUACAUGCUCAUAGUCUUGACUAAUUCAUUUGAUUUCACUGUGACAAAUUGUCUUUGAGGUUGUUAACCAAAACAAAAUGUUGAUGUCAACCAAAACAAUGUCUUGCUCAGGAAUCAUGUAGGGUGCAACCAUUCAAAUAAGAUUCUGUGGAAGGUUGCAUCACUGUUCCAAUAGGGCUACCCAGGAUGAUGAUCAUGUAAGGAACAUGAGGAAUACAAUGUAGGCGCAGCCAUAAUAUAAGUCCAAUUGUCAGUAUAUAAGUUAAGUUCAUGCUAUAAAAGAUAAACUUGUAGUUUCGACCUUUUGUUGAGUUUUGAAGAGUGGGAACAGAAGAGGAAGCAGGCUACCUUUAGAGCUGGGUUUGUUCAAGACCUGGUUCUCAUUACCCCUUUUAGCGACUAAUGAGCCGAAAAUGGGGUCUUUAAUCCUUACUGUUAAGUGCAAUACAUUUAGACAACCCAAUUGUCUUAUUAGGGAUGUCUUUCAUAUAUGUAGAAUUAAGUUUAUUAAUUUGUUUUUCUUUAUUAACAAGGAAUACAAACUAUCAUAAAAUAGUGAUCUAUUAACAAUCAGUUUAUCUUCAAUCAUGUUUCUGUUGAACGAGUGUUUUUGCAGUGAUAUGGUGGUAAACAAGUAUAAUUUUGCUGAUAAAUGUUGAGUACAGCAACUCUGACAGUCUGACUUACGCUAAUUAUAAUUCAUAUACUCUUGGUGUGUUUUUUUCUUUUUUGUCAAGAACUACUCUACUAUAGACCACUCAGUCAACUUUAUGAUUGUCAAAUUUCAUCAUGUAGAUCAUGUUGAUAUUCAUUUUGUUAUAGAUUCUAGUUUUUCAUUUCUCGGUUUUUGUUUGUGUUUUGACUCUUAAUCUUGUCAUACAUGCAAGGAGCUGACCUUGUAGGUUUUCAACUAGUUCCUAUAUAAUUUGUAUAGUACUCACCGGUAAAAAUGGUGAAUUCGGAGAAUUCGUAUUUUUUAUUCUCUGAAACCAAUGCCUCCUAUCUAGGCUGUAGAAUAGUUUCUUUCUGUUUCCCAUUUGUAUAGGUGUAUAGCUUAUGAGAAACUGGCAUCCUCAUCUAACUGGUCAUAAUAGGUCAUGGCUGCGAGUUUUUUCUAACCUUUCUUGAUGUAAAACUUGCAGUUUUGUCCCUUCGUUGAGUUAUAAAGAGCGGGAACAAAAGAUGAAGUAGGCCACUAUAAGAGCUGGGUUCGUGCAACACCUGGUUCUCUCCACCCUUUUUAGCAAUUACUGUAAUUAGGCUUUGCGAACAUAUUGUAAUGUAUCUACUCUGUUCCUGAUAAGAGGCAGAAAUGGGGUCCUUAGUGUUUUAUAUGGACAACCCAUUUGCCAAAUUAGUAUGUUUCUAGAGGCAGCGAUGUUCUGCUGCUGCAUUAUCAGAGAGAUGUAUUUAUGUUGAAAGAAGUAAUAGUUCUGUCAGGGCUAAGUUUGCCGAACCUCGUGGCAGCACUGAAGAAACUGCAAUACUAAAGGGUCAUAACUUGUGCCAGUUGAAAUUACUUUUUUUUCGUUUGCUUUCCUGUCUACAGCCCAUCACAAGCAUGCUAUCCCACACAGAUGUGGAAGUGAUAAAAUUUCUAGGCCAUAAAAAAGACAUGUUGGACAAAUAUUUUCUGCAUAGACAUGUUCUCUCUGAAUGGUGUUUUGCGUAUGUGAAAAUUGGCCCCAACAAGCAUAAUUGUUUAAGGUCUUUAUAGCCACAUCUACAUGCUACUUUGCACAAACACAUUUGCGAACUAUGUGUUGAACCACAAACAAGGAGCAAAAUCAUGUUCCUCAAAAUACAGAAAAUAGCAAUAGAAAUUGACACUACAAACAUAGUCCAUACAAAAUUUUUGAAUCACAGAAGUUACAACCAUCCUGUUACAUAGAUGUGGUGGUGUGGUGGUGGCAUGGCAUGAUAAUGUUUCACACCAUAUUAUGGGGUAGGAUGAUAGUUUCACAAUUCACAUCAUAUUAUGGGGUAGGAUUGUAAUUUUAGGUCAAAAGCAAUAUGAUAUAAAGGCACAAGUGCACAACUAAAACCCUAGUUUUUCCAAAGGAAAGAAUGGAGGUUCAAUAUCUUCACAGCUACAAGAUCUAGAAAUUUUACAAUAUCUUCACAGCUACAAGAUCUAGAAAUUUUACUUAGAUACUUAGAUUGAGAAUGGGUGGUAUCGGAAACAAAGAUUUCUGCUCAAUGGUUCACAUAUGGUUGCUGUAGAUUACUGCUCAACUUAUAGAUGUGUGCUCAUUGCUCGCAGUCAAUUAAUAAAACCUGGUUCCCUACUCCCUAGUGUUGCUUCAUUAUGUUCUUCCAGUCACUUGGCUAAGUAGAAUUUUGUCUUUGUCAACCCAUCUGAGAGAGCUUCAUUACUGUUCUAAAUUUUAAGUAUGUUUUAGACAUAAAAGUGAGAUGAAAUCAAUGUUUAUUUAUGCAAGUUUUUCUAACCUUUCUCGAUCUAAUACAUGCAGCAGUUUUGGUCCUUCAUUGAGUUAUGAACAAUGGGAACAGAAGAUGGAGCAGUUUAGCAGGACACUGUAGGAGCUGGCUUUGUUCAAGACCUGCUUCUUUCCACGCUUUUUAGCAAUUAGUGUAAUCAAGCUUUUAUAACGAACCACAAACAUAUGGUAAUUGAUCUACUCUCUCCCUUAAAAGAUGCUGAAAUGGGUCUUUGGUGUCAAAUGCUAUAGAUAUGGGCAACCCAUUUUGCCUAAUUGUUGUGUUUCUUGGGGCAACAAUGUUCUGCUGCUUUUAUUUACUAGUUCCACUUCAAUAAAUAGUUGUGCGUGAAACUUUCAUGCAGGCAUGUAGCUGAUGAUUUUAAUUUUUGUGAUACAAAUAAAGUAAUGAUUUCAUUCAAGUUUAGUAUUUUCUCUCCAUCACAUUAGUGUGUUGUUAUCCUUAAUGGCUCGGAUCACUCUUAAUGGACAGCCUAUUAACCAAAAACAUCGCAUAAAUUGUGCUUUCUAAUCGAGACAAGCAGGUCAACCCAAUUGAUAAAGGGAAUGCACCCUCCCAGGCUUACAGGCUUUGGUUAACAUCGGAAAAUAUGAGUAGAUUGUUAUCAUACUUAGGGCAAAGAGGACACGUUGCAUGCUCAAAUAUAACGCGAAUACUUGCUUACAAUAUGGUCUACAUGGAAGUCCAUAUGGCAGUCUUUUAUAUUUCAUUUAACUUCACUGUGAUAAAUAGUGUCUCAUGUUGUCAAUUGGAUACUUCUUUUGAAGUUAUAUUAUGUCAACCAAAACAAUAGGUUGCAGUUAUGAAAUCAUCGACCGAUUCAUAUACAAUUCAAUUCAGUGGAAGGUCUCCAUUCCAGGAGGCUACGACCCUAACUUAUGUUCAUGGAACGUAGGGAAACACUAUCGGUGCUGCCAACACACUGGACGCGAAAAUUGGAACUGAGUGCAGUAGCAUUGUAAUACACUAAAAUAAAAAUAAAUAAUUUCUGGAAACAAAAAAAUUGAUUAAAGAAUCACUUCAAUGAAUCAAAAUUAAAGAAACCCUAAUAAUUAACAAUUCCUUAAAAAUUAAACCUAGCUAUGAUUUUAACUAAAUGAUAAAUUCCUUGAUAGCUCCUCCACCUUGGCCUUGUCAAGCUGGUGUUUCUCAUACACUGAUAACAAUUGUUGUUGCACUGUGGCCAAUAACUUGUCUUUGCUGACAUAAGUUAAGUAAUGAGAAACAUUUUCUUCCUCCCUUUUCAAACACUCUUUAGCUCUCUCUAUGUAAUAUUGAUCACCAUUAUCUUCUUCACUAAUCCAACUCAUUGCUUUCCCUAAGUAAUAAGAAGCAGUAUUACUAAGUAUACCUUCUUCAUAGUGUUUUUCAUAGUAAAAUCCUGGUCCAUGCUUAAAGAAAUAAUUAUCCCAUCCUGCUCCAACCUCAACAAAAUAAUCCGUAACAUUCUUCAAUAAAACCCUGUCAAUUUGUGUGCCUUCUCGUUCUUUUUCAAUCAAAGAGAUGACAAUAUCUCUAGCCUUCAUAUUAAUAUCUUGAGAAACUGCAUCAUAGAAAUAAGUAAAACCAACUUUAGCAAGGCUUGGCAGCCACCUUUCGUCGGAGGUAUAAUAUCGAUCAAGAUAUUGGAAUAAAUGCGACGACAUCCAACUGCACAUAACUUUGUAAUUUUUCCAUCUUUUUACAAGUUCUGAUAAAAAACACACAUCUUGCUUUUCUCUUAAAGAUGACAAAACUAUUCCUUUGAUAUAUUCUUUAAUAGUUUGUUCAUACAAGUCGUAAAAUUGUGGGCUGUACGAGUGAAUGGCGCAUAAAUCGUAAAUACAUGAAUAGAGCUUCAUUAACUCCCUUGGAGUGAGUUUUUCCUUUGGAAAAUUUUCUUGUAAAUCAAUAAACUUUGCGAUUCCAUUCUUAAUGAUUUCGACUCCUUCUUCAAAUUCGAUAAUCUCUUCAUCAAGAUCUGUCAUCUUUUAUUAAUCUUAUAAAAACCAAAAACUAUAUAAUCUAUUACAACUACUAAGCAUACAUAUUUAUAACUUUUUGUUCACCUAUUUAUAGAUUUCUAAUACUAUAAGAGUUGUUUUUAAACUAGCGUAGGAAGCCGACUUCAACUAGUAUAUGGCAGAAUUUGUUCAAGAUCCCAUGACAGGGCGACCCAUGAAUAAAAAGUAGAGAUUUUUGGACAUACCCCCAUUUGAAAGUCGAAAUUUGAGAUACCCCAUUUUGAAAAAAAAUUUGAGAUACCCCCCAAUUUAAGAUGUGGUGUUAUCUUAGCCGUCCAUCAUAAAACUCACCUACGGCUGUAAAGCUCUUCUGUCUUGAAUUGGGGGUAUCUCAAAUAUUUUUUUAAAUGGGGUAUCUCAAAUUUCGACUUUCAAAUGGAGGUAUGUCCAAAAAUCUCUAAAAAGUAUACUAAUCUUCUGCAGAGAUUUUACAUGAGCCGCCCAGAUACACAUCCACUCUAACCGGCAAUCUCGCCCAGUCAAAAUGCGCAGAGACUUGUGAGCACUUUCAGUUGUGGUCAUAAUUCUUUGUCUUUCCACGGUAUAACUUCUUUAAAUUAAUAGCUUCAGGUAAGUAAUUUUUUGAACUUAGAGAGAUUACUAACAUACCGAGCGUUGAUUUAGCUACUUACAAGGUCCAUUGGAACCAAAAAAUUCUAGCUAUUAAAGAUUUCUAUCAACUUAGAGAGAUAUUAACGAAUCAAGUAUUAAUUUAAAGAGGUUUGUUCUACUGUACAAAUUUACAACCAUCCUUGCAAAAAUAAGCUAUGAAUAAUAUUGGGAUUAUUUCCAACAAAAAAAAAAAAUCUAAUAAAAUUUGCCCCUACAUGAUGUUUUCAACUCAACCAUGGUGUAUAGUGGCAUUGCCAAUUUGACAUGAACUGAUGAACCUAAACCAUUGAGACAUAAGUACAUAACAAUAACCAUAUAAAGAUUGUAAUAACAUGGUACAAAAGCACAACAAAAAUCCUAGUUUUUCUAAAGAGAAGAAUGGCUGCUCAAUAUUAUCUUCACUAAAGUCUAAAACCCUAGUUACCCAAACAGUAGCCGUUCAAUACUUCUACCUUUUCACAGUUCCUCAAUGGAUUUAUAUUUCAUAGAAAAUAUGUUGAGGUGAGAAUGGGUGGUAUCGGAAAUAAACAGAUUUUGUUGUUAUUUCCUCAUGUUUUUAUGUUUUCUAGUCGAAAAGCUUCGAGGCUUUCCUUAGCUGGUAAUGAUCAUUAUAGGGUUUUAAGGAAAAAUUGACAGUUCUUCCCAUUGUAGUGAAUACAGAGUUUCUGGAAGCUAAGGAUAAAAUCACAUAAGUAAAGACAAACAAGAAGAUGUCUGAUGCUGAAAGAGUCCUAAGGAAAUUGCUAGUAAGUAUUCUUAACUUUUCUUGUUAAUUAUAUAAUUAAAUACAAUAGUUAGAAUAGUUAACCUUUACAAUCCUGAUUGAAUUUAAAACAUUUAUUAUGAUGAUUAGUCUUUACAAUCCUGAUAGAAUGAAAAACAGACAAACAAUUGUCAAAUGUUCUGCGAGCAGAGCAGAUGUAUAUAAACAUUUGGAAAAGGAAUGAAUGCCACACGUAUUAGUGAAUUGCUGGUUUUUUAAUCAGCAAUUAGCAACGAGUCUGCGUUUUUAGUUAAUGGAGGCAGUACCUGUACUCAAGAAUCAUGUAGGGUGCAACCGUGCAAAUUACAAUUCAGUGGAAGAUCUCGAUUUAAAUAGGACUACCCAGGAUGAAGAUCAUGUUAAGGAACAUGCAGAAAACAAUAUAGGUACUGCCAUAAUAUAAGUCCAACAAGGUUAUAAUAUAAUGGCCCCCUAAUAUAAUUUCAAGUUCAUGUUUUAAAAAAUAUUUCAAAAUCUAGAAGUUUUUCUAACUGUUAUUCAUCUAAUACCUGCAGUUUUGACCCUUCGUCAAGUUAUGAGAGCGGGAGAAAAAGAUGAAGAAGGCCACUGUCAGAGCUUUGUUCGUGCAAGAUCUUAUAGGAAAAGCUCAGGAAUCCAUGGAGUGUGUUCACUUCAAAUGCGAUGUAGUGAUGAAGAUGAGAAAAUAGUGUUAUCAGAAUAUAUAAGUGGGAAUGGGUGGUGUCGGAAAUAUUUUGUGGGGCUAGAUUUCAUUCCAUUCUGCUUUGCACUCCUUUGGAAGGGAAGGAUUUCACUUUAUUUUGUGGGAUUCAACUGAAAAAGAGUUCAAAUCACGACUGUGGAUCUUAAAUCUGUCUUCACAUACCCCAUAUCAAAUCGUGGUAUCGGAAAAUUUCAACGGGCAAAAUAUUGAUGAUGGAGGGUGGAGUUCACGCACUAAGGUAAUUAAGCUGUUUCAAGGACUUAAAAUAUUCUUAGGGCAUCUCUAAUGGUUGGGCAAAUUUGAUGGUCCACGUAUACACAUUUGAUGAUAGUUUGAUGAAAAUUUUGCUUUGAAAAUGUGCUCCAUCUAAUGGUUCAUCAACUAAAGCGGCUAAUGGAUGACCGCUUCACUAAAGCGGCCUCCUAACACCCACUUCACUUAGUUAAAGCGGCUAAUGGAUGACCGCUUCACUAAAGCGGGCCCCCAACACCCGCUUCACUUAGUUAAUGGGGCUGUCCAAGUGCCACUUAGUUAAAGCGGGCUUUGAAGUGCCACUUUAAGCGGCACUUCAUUAGCCGCUUUAAGUGAAGCGGUCUUCUCUUGCCCGCCUCACCCAGUAUCAAACCUUAAGCUUUUCAUCAAAAUUUCAUCAAAUUUGAUGAACUUUUGAUGAUUUUUGCUAAAAUAUCAAAUUUGAAAAACUUUUGAUGGUCCAUUAGAUGGAGUUUUUUUCACUUUUUCAUCAAAUUUGAAUUUGAUGAUAGAUUUGAAGAACCAUUAGAGAUGCCCUUAGUUCUUUAGUAUACUGUUCACUGGCAUGACCAUAUAUAUUUGGGGGAUUUAGAGAUACCCCCCCAAAAAAUAUGAACUCUUUGAGAUACCCCCCAGAUUUAAAAAUCAUUAGAGAUACCCCCCAUUUUUUCAUUUGGAGCCGGUCAACCAAGCCAUUGACCUAUAUUUGACCAGUCUUUAUAUCACUUAGACUAAAAUACCCUUCCUUGAUUUUAAUGGUGAUCCUAGUCAGCUACACACUCACCAAUUAUGCCAUAUCAGCAAAAACACUUCAUUUCACCAAAUCUUAAACUUUUCUUAGAGAUAUCCCCCAAAAUUAAACUUUUCUUUGAGAUACCCCCCAAAAUUGCAGAAAAAGACAUGAGUGAAAGAUUUUAGUUUAAAGUUCUUCGCCUUUUCUUCUAGAUCUGUUAAUGGAGUUAUUUUCUGGAUCUCUGAUAAUGGCUGGAGAAGAAAGAAGAAGCAAAGAAAGAAGAACAAGGGUUGGAGAAGAAAGAAGAACAAGGGUUGGAGAAGAAAGAAGAAGAGGGGUUGGAGAAGAGGAAGAACAUAUUAGAUGGGUUGGAGAAGAAGGAUGAAGAAGAAUGGGUGGAGAUUGAUGGGUUGGAGAAGAAGGAAGAAGACAAAUGGGUGGAGAUUGAUGGGUUGGAGAAGAAGGAAGAAGAAGAAUGGGUGGAGAUUGAUGGGUUGGAGAAGAAGGAAGAAGAAGAAUGGGUGGAGAUUGAUUGGUUGGAGAAGAAGGAAGAAGAAGAAUGGGUGGAGAUUGAUGGGUUGGAGAAGAAGGAAGAAGAAAAAUGGGUGGAGAUUGAUGGGUGGAGAAGAAGGAAGAAGAACAGNNNNNNNNNNNNNNNNNNNNNNNNNNNNNNNNNNNNNNNNNNNNNNNNNNNNNNNNNNNNNNNNNNNNNNNNNNNNNNNNNNNNNNNNNNNNNNNNNNNNUGAUGGGUUGGAGAAGAAGGAAGAAGAAGAAUGGGUGGAGAUUGAUGGCUAAUUAUUUGUAACCAUUAGAUUAGAUCUGGUGAAAUAUUUGAUGAUGUGGUAGAAAUGCAUGCUGACUAGGUUGGAUGAUUAAGACAGAGCUUAAGUUAGGAAAAGGGUAUUUCAGUCAAUAUGAAAACAAGUUAGGUCAAUGGCUUGGUUGACCGGCUCCAAAUGAAAAAAUGGGGGGUAUCUCUAAUGGUUUUUAAAUCUGGGGGGUAUCUCAAAGAGUUCAUAUUUUUUUGGGGGGUAUCUCUAAAUCCCCCUAUAUAUUUUCAACAUAUAUAGAUCCAUUGACUGUACUGCUGAAAUUAAUUGUAAUUUAAGAAAAGGUUGGAAAGACUUGAAAAUUAAAAAGAAAUUUUAGUAUACCAUGAAAUGAAGUGUAUAUGCUGGCAAAAAUUAGCUUCACAGCCAGCUAUAUAGGCUACUCCAAUGUAGUGUUGUGUAUAUUAUCUAUAUAAUACAUGCUCAAAAUAAUCAAGCUACGUAUAUAACUGUCUACUACUCACUUGGUAUGACAAGAUUUAAGGUAUAUUAAAUCCUAUAUGAUUUCUUUGUUAGUGAAAAUUGGAUUUUCAAUUUUCAGGUACCUGCAAAGUCACAAGUUGGACCACAAUUUUGACUAGCGCUAUAAAGCAAGCUACGUUACUAAUAAUUAGGGUUUGUGAUAGCUAGCUUGUUAUAGGAGAAAAAGCUAAGAUGGUAAGUUGUUGUUAUGAUAUUGACAAUAUUCCUGAGGAUUUACCAUAGUACAAAAUAUCGGUAUCGACUAAUCUAUCGAUCUCCAAAAAAAUAGAUAUAUCGGGAUAUAUUGGAAUCUAUCGGUUGUUAUUUUACAUCGAAUGUAUCGAUUAAUAUAUCAAUUUGUUAUAUAAAAUAUAUAUAAAAUCAAAUUUGGAAGUAUAUUAUCAUAGUAUUUACCUAAAAAUAUCAUAUCUACUAAAAAUGGAAUAAACAAAUUAUUUCUAAAAAAAAAAAUUUCCAGAAAAUAUCAGUAAAUAUCGGAAAGAUCGAAAAAAUAUCGGCUGAUAUUUUACAGAAACUUUAAGGUGUAAAUAUCGAGAAAAUAUCGUAUCGUUUUCUUAGAAAACCGAUAAAUAUCGCGAUAUAUCACGAUAUUUUGUACUAUGGGAUUUACUACUAAACAUACUCGUGUGUUUGAUAAAGUUUUACAUGUGGACUAGUCAAGAGAAAAUCUUUUCUGGACUAAUCCUCUACGAUUUCUUCCAAGCAGGUCUAGGUGCACAGAGGAAUUUGUAUUAUUCUUCAAUGAAACAACAUGGUCACCUCUAAGUCUCUAACAUUCUUAUACUACUAGGAUCUGCACCACUGUGUUUAGUCUAACACCUGCUGGGUUGCUAUCACUAACAUUGUUGUAACGUGUAAGGCUGUAAUAGUAUGUUCUCUGUUGACUGGCAGUACUAGGUCUCUCUGAAAUACUUGUAGGCAUCGAUUUAGGUACUAUAUGGUUGAAUGUGUAAAAGUAUCACUAGCCUUGCACACUGUCUAAACCAAAAAAUAUCCUUCCAAGUUGUGCUAUAAACAAUUCUGCAAGGUUUACUAACCUUUCUUGAUAUAAUGCUUGCAGUUUCGACCCUUCGUUGAGUUAUGAAGAGUGGGAGCAAAAGAUGAAGCAGGCCACCGUAAGAGCUGAGUUCGUUGAAGGUGGUUCUUUCCACACUUUUUAGCGGUUUUGUAAUCAGGCCCUUACAGAACAUAUGAUAAUCAAUCUACUCUCUUCCUGAUUAGAAUCGAAAGUGGGGUCCUAGUGUUAGAUGCAGUACAUAUGGACAAACCAAUUGCCUGAUUAGGAUGUAUUUUUAGCAGCAAUGUUCAUAUGCUUCUUGAUCAGAGAUAUAUAUUUAUUUUGGAAGAAGUCUAUGGUUACUCAUUAUUUUUGUUUGAUAUAUAUGCUAUUUCGACCCUUCAUUGAGUUAAGAGUAGGAACAGUAGUUAAGACUUGGUUCUCCACAAAUUGGUAUUUAUUUUGCCUAAUUGAUAUGUUUCUUGAGGCAGCCAUGUUCUGCUGCUUCUUGAUCUGAGAGAGAGGUAUUUAUUUUAAUAGAAGUCGAUGGCAUACUCAGUAUUCUGGGAUUGUCUAUCGCAGUGCUUUUGUUUUCAUAAUAAUAUAUACCUUAUUUCUAGGCCAUAAUAAAGACAUGUUGGACAAGUAUUUCCUGUGUCUCUCGUGUUAGCUGUAAUUGUCUGAAAUGGUGUAUUGAAGGGCUAAGAUAGUUUGGCAUGUUUAAAUUGGCUUUGGUCACUACAGUAUGAUUGUUCACCUGGAAUACAUGACAACCUUCACAUCUUUUGCUUGAUUUGAAUGACAACUCACAACUAUGAACUAUCCUUGGCAGCAGUUGAUAUAAAGGCACUAAAACGCUAGUUAUCUGAGGAGAAUGACUGAAUGGGCGACUAAAUUUUUUCAAUCUUUUCACAGUUUCUCAAUGGUUAUAGAAAAAUAGAUUUGGGCAACUGUUUAAACAGAUUUUACUUGAUUGUAAGGUGAGAAUGGGUGGUAUCGGAAAUAAACAGAUUUGGGCAACUGUAUUUCCAAUAAAAUCCUGAAAGGAAAGACAAAUAAGAAGAUGUCUGACUCUAAAAGAGUCACAAGGAAAUUGUUCAAGAAAGGCUAUUACGCUGAAAGAUGUCUUAACUUGUCUUGUGAAUUCUAUAAAUAUAGAACUGUGAUAUGAUGGAGACCGACGUUAGGGAAAGAGAGAGCAAGAGAAAAGAAGAGAGAUUUCAAAAAACAAAAACAAACCGACAGACAGAAAAUUGAAAAUUAAAAAUAGAAAAAGGGGACAGACACGAGUUUGAGUUCCACCUGACUCUAAAGGAACCUCCUAACGUCGGUCGAUUAAAUUCAAUAGUUAGAAUAGUUAAACUUUACAAUCCUGAUAGAAAGUUAUAAAUGAAUUGAAAAGCAGACAAACAAUUAUCAAACGUUCUGCGAGCAGAGCAGAUGUAUAUAAAAAUCUGGAAAAGGAACAAAUGCCACACAUAUUAGUGAAUUGCUGGUAAAUAAAUCUGCAAGUAGCAAUGAGUCUGCGUGUGUUAGGAUAACAUGAACUUCAAGAACUAAUAAUUGAUACGAUAGGAUAACAUGAAGAGAUGAAUGAAUAGAGUAGUUAUCGGAACCAGUACCUAAAGAUGUGAAGCGAUUGUUGUAACUCGGAAUUGCCACGAAACAACAGUAUUUGGCCUAUCUGUUCUUUACCAUGGUCCUGAUACAAUUGCUCGAAAUCUACCAAUUUUUUUUUCUUACUUGCUUAAAAGUUAUGUUAUCUUAGCUUUAUGUAUAUGUAAUGAGCUAACAUUUCUCUCCAUCAGAUUAGUUCAUAGUUCAUACAUAGAUUGGCUUUAUCAUACGCUCACUUGAAUCACUCUUAAUGGAUAGCCUAUAACCAGACACUUUGCCCUGCUUCUCAUAAAUUAUUAUGCUCUGGAUAAGCAGAUUGUGUAAUAACAUCACUAUCCUCCUUGUGAAGUUGUAAGGCACAUAAAUAUGGCAAUUGGAUUGAAUCGAAUGCAAAAUAAAGAUGUUUUAAGAGAGAUAUAUACUUAAUUAGACCUUUUUAUUGGCAGCACAACAACAACGUGGCCGUGGUCAGUUCCGUACCUGAGAUUUUUAUUGGCAGCACAACAACAACAACAACGACGACAUUGUUGGUUAGAAAAAUGAUGUCUCCCACUCUCCAGCGUUGAAGUGGUCAUGUAACAAGGUUACCCUGUGACCAUUGCCAAUUUCUAGUCAUAUAUGGCUUUGAAAAUUAGAACCAGAUCGAUCAAUUCCAGAAUCAUGCCGAUUCUGAUAAGAUGGGGCAGAUUGUAAUUUUAGGUCAUUAGUAAAACUAUAUAAAAACACAAGUAAAACCCUAGUUUUCUCUUCAAACACAAAAGAAAGAAUAUGGCCGUUCAACCACUACUACACAGUUUCAACUCUAGAGUAUGGGAAUGGGUGGUAUCGGAAAAAAUGAGGGAGUGGGGCGUCUGUUCAAGUUGGACAUCUGAUCUGUUAGAAGAAGAACCAACCUGAGCCGCCGGAAAAAUCUGCUCUUUUUUUCUUGCUAAUGGUAAAAUUAUACUUGCAGUUUCGACCCUUUUUGAGUUAUGAAGACAAGUUGAAGCAUACUACUGUUGUGGUUCUCUCUACUCUUUGUAGUGAUUAGUGUAAUUAAUGUAAUCUGAUCCAGAAAAAAGGUCAUUAAACAACUAAAUUCUCUUAUUAGGUUGACUGAAGUGUAUAUGGCUAGUCAGUAUUUGGGUAUUGUAAUAAUCUAUUAGCUUAGUAUGUGUAAUUUAUUUUUCUGGUUGCAACCCAACCAUGCACACAAUAUCGAAAUGUGUAACGAUCACUCCAUAGUAAUACUCUAAUUAUUUAGACAAUUUUAUGGAGAAAUGUAAUUAUUUUGUGGAGCAGGAAUUUUUUACUGACUUCAUUGGAGAAAUGUAUUUAUUUUGGAUGAAGUGGGCUACUCAGUAUUCACGGAUUGUUUGUUCUUGUUCAUCUUAAUGAUUUAGACAAUUUUAUUUGUAAAAGUAUGUUAAUGUGGGACAAAUAUAUUCUGCGUAAACAAGUUCUCUUUAUUUCAUGAAA